RNAcentral lists this ribosomal RNA (429 nucleotides) under Acidobacteriota bacterium. Its description in RNAcentral is "Acidobacteria bacterium partial 16S ribosomal RNA". It matches the Rfam family "Bacterial small subunit ribosomal RNA", at positions 355 to 776 of the family's 1533-position model. Lineage: Bacteria; Pseudomonadati; Acidobacteriota. The record is from RNAcentral.
UGGGGAAUUUUGGACAAUGGGGGAAACCCUGAUCCAGCCAUCCCGCGUGUGCGAUGAAGGCCUUCGGGUUGUAAAGCACUUUUGGCAGGAAAGAAACGUCAUGGGUUAAUACCCCGUGAAACUGACGGUACCUGCAGAAUAAGCACCGGCUAACUACGGGCCAGCAGCCGCGGUAAUACGUAGGGUGCAAGCGUUAAUCGGAAUUACUGGGCGUAAAGCGUGCGCAGGCGGUUCGGAAAGAAAGAUGUGAAAUCCCAGAGCUCAACUUUGGAACUGCAUUUUUAACUACCGGGCUAGAGUGUGUCAGAGGGAGGUGGAAUUCCGCGUGUAGCAGUGAAAUGCGUAGAUAUGCGGAGGAACACCGAUGGCGAAGGCAGCCUCCUGGGAUAACACUGACGCUCAUGCACGAAAGCGUGGGGAGCAAACAGG